AGUCAUAUGCUUGUCUCAAAGAUUAAGCCAUGCAUGUCUAAGUCCAAGCUGUGUUCACACGGCGAGACCGCGGACGGCUCAUUAAAUCAGUCGUGGUCCAAAUGGGCCAGUGCAAAUCCUACUUGGAUAACUGUGGUAAUUCCAGAGCUAAUACAUGCAACUGAUAUCCCGAAGGCGGUGUUGGGGCUUGCUUGCCUUGCGCUGCGCUGCUCUGACGGAUGCUUUUAUUAGACCAAGCCGCUGAGGACUUGAGGGUUCGCGCUCUCUUGUUUGACUCGUGUGAUGGUGACUCUGGAUAACCAAAUUCUGACAAGCGCACGUACUUCUCUUCUGAGCGAGACGGCGCUGCCACUUUCGAGUGUCUGCCUUAUCAGCUAUCAACCGUUCGUUAUGCGCGACCGAUGGCUUUGACGGGUAACGGGGAAUCAGGGUUCGAUUCCGGAGAGGCAGCCUGAGAGACGGCUACCACGUCCAAGGACGGCAGCAGGCACGCAAAUUACCCAAUCCCAGCAAAUGGGGGAGGUAGUGACGAAAUCUAACGAUGCGGGCGCCCUUUCUGGGGCCCCGCAAUCGGAAUGGGCACUUUCUAAACAACCUGUUGAGAACC
Molecule: ribosomal RNA, 607 nt
Filed under: Eulimnogammarus verrucosus
Lineage: Eukaryota; Metazoa; Arthropoda; Malacostraca; Amphipoda; Eulimnogammaridae
Description: SSU rRNA
Rfam family: Eukaryotic small subunit ribosomal RNA
Source: RNAcentral